GUUCUUAUCAACUGGAAGUUUGAGGAGAUGGAAAUGGCUUCUUAAUAAGGUGAAGGCAACCAGACCUUUUCCAGGCCUGCCCUUGCUGGUUUUGAAAAUGGUACUGCCAUUUUAUAAUCUUUGCACUUAGUAUUUUGUGAACAUGUUUCUAUAUUCUUUCAUAGCAUUAUAUGGAGAUAUCAUCAUUUCCCCGCAAAGUGAAGAUAAAUUUUUUAAGGUCACUAAGUAUUUUUCAAGUAAUAUAAAACUACUAGACAUUAAUCCACCUAUAUUUAAUGAUUAAUCUUAAGUGUACAUAGAAUGUGUAAAAUGUGGCGGGGGGGAUAGAG
RNAcentral lists this long non-coding RNA (329 nucleotides) under Bos taurus (domestic cattle). RNAcentral describes it as "long non-coding RNA NONBTAT022975". The record is from RNAcentral. Lineage: Eukaryota; Metazoa; Chordata; Mammalia; Artiodactyla; Bovidae.